RNAcentral lists this ribosomal RNA (440 nucleotides) under uncultured bacterium. Its description in RNAcentral is "partial 16S ribosomal RNA". It matches the Rfam family "Bacterial small subunit ribosomal RNA", at positions 338 to 795 of the family's 1533-position model. The record is from RNAcentral.
CCUACGGGAUGCAGCAGUGGGGGAUAUUGCACAAUGGGGGGAACCCUGAUGCAGCGACGCCGCGUGGGUGAAGGAGCGUUUCGGCGCGUAAAGCCCUAUCGGCAGGGAAGAAGAUGACGGUACCUGACCAAGAAGCCCCGGCUAACUCCGUGCCAGCAGCCGCGGGCAUACGUAGGGGGCAAGCGUUAUCCGGAUUUACUGGGUGUAAGGGGGGCGCAGACGGCAAUGCAAGCCAGGAGUGAAAGCCCGGGGCCCAACCCCGGGACUGCUCUUGGAACUGCAUGGCGGGAGUACAGGAGGGGCAGGCAGAAUUCCUAGUGUAGCGGUGAAAUGCGUAGAUAUUAGGAGGAACACCGGUGGCGAAGGCGGCCUGCUGGACUGUGACUGACGUUGAGGCCCGAAGGCGUGGGGAGCAAACAGGAUUAGAUACCCUGGUAGUC